Molecule: ribosomal RNA, 500 nt
Filed under: uncultured bacterium
Lineage: Bacteria
Description: partial 16S ribosomal RNA
Rfam family: Bacterial small subunit ribosomal RNA
Source: RNAcentral
AUUGAACGCUGGCGGAAUGCUUUACACAUGCAAGUCGAACGGCAGCGCGGACUUCGGUCUGGUGGCGAGUGGCGAACGGGUGAGUAACAUAUCGGAACGUAUCCAAUAAUGGGGGAUAACGAGUCGAAAGAUUCGCUAAUACCGCAUACGCCCUACGGGGGAAAGCUGGGGACCUUCGGGCCUGGCGUUAAUAGAGCGGCCGAUAUCUGAUUAGCUAGUUGGUGAGGUAAAGGCUCACCAAGGCGACGAUCAGUAGCUGGUCUGAGAGGACGACCAGCCACACUGGAACGGAGACACGGUCCAGACUCCUACGGGAGGCAGCAGUGGGGAAUUUUGGACAAUGGGCGCAAGCCUGAUCCAGCCAUUCCGCGUGAGUGAAGAAGGCCUUCGGGUUGUAAAGCUCUUUCGCAAGGGAAGAAAACUUAGCCACUAACAUUGGUUGAGGUUGACGGUACCUUGAUAAGAAGCACCGGCUAACUACGUGCCAGCCGCCGCCGUAA